RNAcentral lists this ribosomal RNA (378 nucleotides) under uncultured Planctomycetota bacterium. RNAcentral describes it as "bacterial SSU rRNA". It matches the Rfam family "Bacterial small subunit ribosomal RNA", at positions 521 to 896 of the family's 1533-position model. Lineage: Bacteria; Pseudomonadati; Planctomycetota. The record is from RNAcentral.
UAAUACGAAGGGCCCGAGCGUUAUUCGGAAUCACUGGGCUUAAAGCGUACGUAGGCUGGUAUAUAGGCGUCUUGUGAAAUCCCUCGGCUCAACCGAGGAACUGCAAGGCGAACCAUAUAUCUUGAGACAGACAGAGGUCGUCGGAACGAUUGGUGGAGUGGUGAAAUGCGUUGAUAUCAAUCGGAACGCCGAGGGAGAAGUCAGGCGACUGGGUCUGUUCUGACGCUGAGGUACGAAAGCGUGGGUAGCGAACGGGAUUAGAUACCCCGGUAGUCCACGCCGUAAACGAUGUGCACUAGGUCGAGGGCGUUCUGACGCGACUCUCGGCCGAAGCGAAAGUGUUAAGUGCACCGCCUGGGGAGUACGGUCGCAAGGCUA